CACUUGAUGGGAGAGACCGCUUCAGCCGGCUUUUCACAGAUUUUACCUUUUGGGUCGACAGAUUCCACAAGGUCAUUUCCAACACGGAGUCGCUGAGACAGGCAUUAACUUUCUCCAUCAAAUUUUGUGACACAGUUGCCUCUCCACCGCUGACCUUGAAAUCACUUGGAAUCUCCAUUUUCAGUACCAGUAGAAGACUUGACCUACCAGCCCAAGCCUUGAAGCCAGCCAUUUCCCAUUUUGGUAUCAUACCCUAUGGUCCUGACUUUUUCAAAAAAUGGUGUGUAAGAUGACAUUCUUCAAAAUGAGGGCAGGUG
Molecule: long non-coding RNA, 317 nt
Organism: Mizuhopecten yessoensis (Yesso scallop)
Lineage: Eukaryota; Metazoa; Mollusca; Bivalvia; Pectinida; Pectinidae
Exons: 3
Source: RefSeq, a predicted model, not a curated record